RNAcentral lists this ribosomal RNA (619 nucleotides) under uncultured Helvella. RNAcentral's name for it is "eukaryotic LSU rRNA". The stretch from base 283 to 436 matches the Rfam family "5.8S ribosomal RNA". Lineage: Eukaryota; Fungi; Ascomycota; Pezizomycetes; Pezizales; Helvellaceae. The record is from RNAcentral.
AAGUCGUAACAAGGUUUCCGUAGGUGAACCUGCGGAAGGAUCAUUACUAGAACAACUUCAAGCAACUUGAAGAGGCGCGGGGUAGCCGCCUACUCAAUUCAGCCCCCCGCGGACCGCCGAACGGCGAUCUCCAAACCCCACUCUCCGCGUACACAUCCCUGUUGCUUCCCCGGGCAGGGUCCCGGGGGAGGUCCCAGAGCAAACAAUGCCGCCCAACCCACCCGCGGCCCCUCCGUCUGAUGGCCAGCGCGCCAAGGAAGAAGGAACGAGCGAAAAGGAAAAAACUUUCAACAACGGAUCUCUUGGUUCCCGCAUCGAUGAAGAACGCAGCGAAAUGCGAUAAGUAAUGUGAAUUGCAGAAUUCAGUGAAUCAUCGAAUCUUUGAACGCACAUUGCGCCCCCUGGCAUUCCGGGGGGCAUGCCUGUUCGAGCGUCUCUGGGACGAAUCCUCGCGCGGGUCAACGCGUGGUCAUGGCGGCGGUGGCGUGCCCUAGGCGGCGGCCACCGCGCUGGAAUCCAUUGGCGGACGCCUGCCGCGUGGCCGAGCGUGAUAUUACGCACUGGCGCUCGCGCGCGGCGAGGCCGACAGCCCUGGCCCGUACGUCGGGCGGGGGACAGC